GAGUUUGAUCUUGGCUCAGAUUGAACGCUGGCGGCAUGCCUUACACAUGCAAGUCGAACGGCAGCACGGGAGCUUGCUCCUGGUGGCGAGUGGCGAACGGGUGAGUAAUGCAUCGGAACGUAUCCUGGAGUGGGGGAUAACGUAGCGAAAGUUACGCUAAUACCGCAUAUUCUGUGAGCAGGAAAGCGGGGGACCUUCGGGCCUCGCGCUCUUGGAGCGGCCGAUGUCGGAUUAGCUAGUUGGUGAGGUAAAGGCUCACCAAGGCGACGAUCCGUAGCAGGUCUGAGAGGAUGAUCUCGCCACACGUGGAAC
Molecule: ribosomal RNA, 312 nt
Filed under: bacterium enrichment culture clone ALO1_GLFRUDD03GE37J
Lineage: Bacteria
Description: bacterial SSU rRNA
Rfam family: Bacterial small subunit ribosomal RNA
Source: RNAcentral